Molecule: long non-coding RNA, 887 nt
Filed under: Equus caballus (horse)
Lineage: Eukaryota; Metazoa; Chordata; Mammalia; Perissodactyla; Equidae
Description: lncRNA (ENSECAG00000049360.1)
Source: RNAcentral
AGCGACAAUGCGUGGAGGGCACAGCGCUGUGCCUGCCUUCUUCUCUGGCCACGAUGACUGAGCUGGGGAGUCAGCACUGGGCCCUGCAAACCAGGCGUCCCACUGCCUUACCUGAGAGUCAAGUGCUGGAGCUGGCCGUUCUCCCCACAGCACCUUAAAGACGGGAGAAAGCCAACCCUGCUGUCAGCAACCCUGAUGAGAUUUUUCCCAGAUUAUCAUCUAAUGGAAAAGAAAUCUCUCUCUCCAAAUGCAAGUUUCUCAGCACUGAGCCUCCAGCCCAGCAGUUUCGCUCCUGGAAGUUUGUCUUACAUGGAUGAAAUGAGCUGUGUACAAGGUUACCCAUGGCAAUGUUGUUUUGAUAGAAGAAAGAAAAGACUGAAAACGACCAAAAUAUCUUUCCUCAGGGCACAGGAUAUACAAGCGAGUGUACACCGCUAUAAUGGGAUUGUAGGCAAAGAAACAACACAAGAAAAGAGAUCGAAGUGACUGCUGAAACUUCAGCGUCAGAACCGCCUAGAGGACUUGAAAGUCAGAUGGCUGUGGGGCCAGGCUCCUGAGGGCUGCUAAUCCUUCUUGCCCAGGACCGCAUUUUGAGAACCACUGCUGUAGAGAUGGAAUGACUAAACGAAAGCCUCCAAGAUCCUUAUUUUGUGCCAUCUCUCCUUUACUGUGUAAUUAAGACUCUUCUCGUCACUGCAAACACUGCUCCUAGGUGUUCAUUCCCCUCUGAGCUGCCAGUAUAUCAGGCACGUCAUAGACAUCACACUGAAACUUCACAGUCUCACCCAACUCUGAGGACAAAAGGCAGAGAAUGUUGUCAAACCGGUAGCAUCCCUUAAGGAGCAGCCUGGAACGAGAAUAAAGCAGAAUCUCGGAGUGUGAUCCCC